This 365-nucleotide unclassified non-coding RNA is filed under the name uncultured Steccherinum. Its description in RNAcentral is "sequence contains ITS1". The stretch from base 1 to 105 matches the Rfam family "5.8S ribosomal RNA", at positions 50 to 154 of the family's 154-position model. Lineage: Eukaryota; Fungi; Basidiomycota; Agaricomycetes; Polyporales; Steccherinaceae. The record is from RNAcentral.
GAAAUGCGAUAAGUAAUGUGAAUUGCAGAAUUCAGUGAAUCAUCGAAUCUUUGAACGCACCUUGCGCUCCUUGGUAUUCCGAGGAGCAUGCUUGUUUGAGUGUCAUGGUCUUCUCAACCCCUCAGUCUUUUUUAUUAGAGGCAGUCGGGCUUGGACUUGGAGGCUUUGCGGGCAUCUGGAUUUCAUAGUUCAGACGUCGGCUCCUCUGAAAUGCAUUAGCUUGAAUAGAACCAAGCAUGAUUCAGCGUGAUAAUUGUCUACGUUGCUUCAUCUCGGUGAAUUUAAUGUUCAAGCUUCUAACCGUCCCUCGGGACAAUCUCUGAACAUCUGACCUCAAAUCAAGUAGGACUACCCGCUGAACUUAA